Coturnix japonica (Japanese quail) is the source of this 576-nucleotide long non-coding RNA. RefSeq lists it as uncharacterized. The record is from RefSeq and is a predicted model, not a curated record. NCBI's taxonomy places the organism in Eukaryota, Metazoa, Chordata, Aves, Galliformes, Phasianidae.
AUAAAUCCUUACAUGUCGUGUCAGAAGUCUUUCAUCUUCCCAAGAUGAUUAUUCAAAGGAUUUUGAAGAUCUGAAUAGGUUGGCCUUCCAUUUGCAACUUGAACUCUCACCUGCUAUGAAAAGUGUUUUUCUUUUGACUUUACAUCUUUACAUGGGUUUCCUUGGAUCAAACUGUCACUUAAAAUUUGACUUAAAAUGUAAUAAUAGCCAUCUAAAUUGAAAUACUUGUCCAUUCUUUGACAAUCUAUAAUGCUAUGAACAGAUAGCUAUUCAAUUAAAGCUGAUUAUUGUACAGCCUGUAAUAUAGGGAAAAAAAUAAAUAAUGUAAAGCUUUAUUUUGCCCAUUUUUCAUCUUAUCUGCUUACCAAAGAAUUUUUGAGUAUUUAUGAUCUGAAAUGUGAUAGUGGUUUUCAAAAUAGGGUAUUUUUUGAGAUCAAAAGUAUAUAUUCUCUAGCAGUUUAACUGAGUAGUACAUGGAAUUCUGAAUAUGUAGUUGGGAAUGUUCUGUUAUACUUCGACAAAUGUUUUAAUUUUAUUUUUCUGUGGCUUACAAUAAAGAAUGGCUGCGUCUUACUA